UCGUGCCGUGAGGUGUUGGGUUAAGUCCCGCAACGAGCGCAACCCCUGCUUUCAGUUGCUACCGGGUCAUGCCGAGCACUCUGAAAGGACUGCCCAGGAUAACGGGGAGGAAGGUGGGGAUGACGUCAAGUCAGCAUGGCCUUUAUGCCUGGGGCCACACACGUGCUACAAUGGCCGGUACAAAGCGCUGCAAACCCGUGAGGGGGAGCCAAUCGCAAAAAACCGGCCUCAGUUCAGAUUGAGGUCUGCAACUCGACCUCAUGAAGGCGGAAUCGCUAGUAAUCGCGGAUCAGCACGCCGCGGUGAAUACGUUCCCGGGCCUUGUACACACCGCC
RNAcentral lists this ribosomal RNA (335 nucleotides) under uncultured Nitrospira sp. RNAcentral describes it as "bacterial SSU rRNA". It matches the Rfam family "Bacterial small subunit ribosomal RNA", at positions 1060 to 1394 of the family's 1533-position model. The record is from RNAcentral. Lineage: Bacteria; Pseudomonadati; Nitrospirota; Nitrospiria; Nitrospirales; Nitrospiraceae.